This 253-nucleotide ribosomal RNA is filed under the name uncultured bacterium. RNAcentral describes it as "partial 16S ribosomal RNA". It matches the Rfam family "Bacterial small subunit ribosomal RNA", at positions 524 to 776 of the family's 1533-position model. The record is from RNAcentral.
UACGUAGGGCGCAAGCGUUAUCCGGAAUUAUUGGGCGUAAAGAGCUCGUAGGCGGUUUGUCGCGUCUGCCGUGAAAGUCCGGGGCUUAACCCCGGAUCUGCGGUGGGUACGGGCAGACUAGAGUGCAGUAGGGGAGACUGGAAUUCCUGGUGUAGCGGUGAAAUGCGCAGGUAUCAGGAGGAACACCGAUGGCGAAGGCAGGUCUCUGGGCUGUAACUGACGCUGAGGAGCGAAAGCAUGGGGAGCGAACAGG